AUCACUUAUAACCAACACGUCUGAGGCGCAGCGAUUAACCUGCGUCUUCUGUCAGCGACAUGUGAUUUCACCCUCUACAGACCACCGUCCUGUCCUUUUAACAGUUUACUCUCUCUCACAAACACACACACACACACUCACACACACCUACGGCAGCUCAAACAAUCAGAAAAAAACACCUAUAUGCUUCUUAUGUUCUUCACCUGUAGUUGAUGUAAGAGCUGUUAGUCUCCAGAAAAGGAACAGAGACAGACAGACAAAGGCCAGAUCUCCUGUUGGAUUUUAGUCCAUCUGCUGAACCGAGCUGUUCUGCAGUACAUUCCUGGAUCGUCAUGUCAGGACCUUGUAAUCUCUCAGAUCUCACCAUGUGUCACCAACCUCCAGAUACAGUGUUCAGGUGUUUGUUCAGUUCCAUACCAUUUUAAAACUGAACUGAAACUCACUCGUGUCAUGACGUCUGCCUCUGUGCCCCACACCACCCCACUGCUACUGUUCCUCCACAAACGUCCUGUAGCUACUGCAUGAGAUUUAAAACACUGAUGUUCAUCCAUAAAGCCAAAAAAGUUUUAAAAAUAAAAAAGUACUACCAAACCAAAAGCUUUUAGACUGAAGUGUUAUAUGA
Molecule: long non-coding RNA, 622 nt
Organism: Tachysurus fulvidraco (yellow catfish)
Lineage: Eukaryota; Metazoa; Chordata; Actinopteri; Siluriformes; Bagridae
Exons: 3
Source: RefSeq, a predicted model, not a curated record